AGUCAAGCAACUAAGCGCAUACGGUGGAUGCCUUGGCAGUCAGAGGCGAUGAAAGACGUGGAAGCCUGCGAUAAGGUUCGGGGAGCUGGCAAACAAGCUGUGAUCCGGGCAUUUCUGAAUGGGGAAACCCACCGACUUUCGGGUCGGUAUCUUGCACUGAAUACAUAGGUGUAAGAGGCGAACCGGGGGAACUGAAACAUCUAAGUACCCCGAGGAAAAGAAAUCAACCGAGAUUCCCUAAGUAGCGGCGAGCGAACGGGGAUUAGCCCUUAAGCUAGACAACUGGUAGGAGAAGGCUCUGGAAAGUGCCGCCAUAGUGGGUGAUAGCCCCGUAUCCGAAACCUGAGUCUGGUGAAAUCGAGUAGGACGGGACACGUGAUAUCCUGUCUGAACAUGGGGGGACCAUCCUCCAAGGCUAAAUACUCCUGACUGACCGAUAGUGAACCAGUACCGUGAGGGAAAGGCGAAAAGAACCCCUGUGAGGGGAGUGAAAUAGAUCCUGAAACCGUAUGCGUACAAGCAGUCGGAGCGGACUUGUUCCGUGACGGCGUACCUUUUGUAUAAUGGGUCAGCGACUUAUGUUCAGUGGCGAGGUUAACCGUUUAGGGGAGCCGUAGGGAAACCGAGUCUGAAUAGGGCGAUUUAGUCGCUGGGCAUAGACCCGAAACCGGGCGAUCUAUCCAUGAGCAGGUUGAAGGUGCCGUAACAGGCACUGGAGGACCGAACCCACUGUCGUUGAAAAGCCAGGGGAUGACUUGUGGAUCGGAGUGAAAGGCUAAUCAAGCCCGGAGAUAGCUGGUUCUCCCCGAAAGCUAUUUAGGUAGCGCCUCGGACGAAUACCACAGGGGGUAGAGCACUGUUUCGGCUAGGGGGUCAUCCCGACUUACCAACCCGAUGCAAACUCCGAAUACCUGUGAGUACUAUCCGGGAGACACACGGCGGGUGCUAACGUCCGUCGUGAAGAGGGAAACAACCCAGACCGCCAGCUAAGGUCCCCAAGUACCAGUUAAGUGGGAAACGAUGUGGGAAGGCUCAGACAGCUAGGAGGUUGGCUUAGAAGCAGCCAUCCUUUAAAGAAAGCGUAAUAGCUCACUAGUCGAGUCGGCCUGCGCGGAAGAUGUAACGGGGCUCAAACUGGUCACCGAAGCUGCGGCUGCAUACUUUGUAUGCGGGGUAGGGGAGCGUUCUGUAAGCCUGCGAAGGUGUGUUGAGAAGCAUGCUGGAGGUAUCAGAAGUGCGAAUGCUGACAUGAGUAACGACAAUGCGGGUGAAAAACCCGCACGCCGGAAGACCAAGGGUUCCUGCGCAACGCUAAUCGGCGCAGGGUGAGUCGGCCCCUAAGGCGAGACCGAAAGGUGUAGUCGAUGGGAAACGGGUUAAUAUUCCCGUACCUUGGAUAGCUGCGAUGGAGAGACGGAGAAGGCUAGGUGAGCCGGGCGACGGUUGUCCCGGUUUAAGCGAGUAGGGAGUGGACUUAGGCAAAUCCGGGUCCACAAUCUCGAGACGCGACGACGACUGCUCUUAGAGCGGGAAGUCAUUGAUGCCCUGCUUCCAGGAAAAUCUUCUAAGCUUCAGGCUAUUCGAGACCGUACCCCAAACCGACACAGGUGGUCAGGUAGAGAAUACCAAGGCGCUUGAGAGAACUCGGGUAAAGGAACUAGGCAAAAUGGUGCCGUAACUUCGGGAGAAGGCACGCUGGUGGUAAGUGAAAUCCCUGCGGGUGGAGCUGAAGCCAGUCGAAGAUACCAGGCCCCUGCGACUGUUUAUUAAAAACACAGCACUGUGCAAACACGAAAGUGGACGUAUAC
Molecule: ribosomal RNA, 1808 nt
Filed under: Marinobacter manganoxydans MnI7-9
Lineage: Bacteria; Pseudomonadati; Pseudomonadota; Gammaproteobacteria; Pseudomonadales; Marinobacteraceae
Description: bacterial LSU rRNA
Rfam family: Bacterial large subunit ribosomal RNA
Source: RNAcentral